Molecule: ribosomal RNA, 224 nt
Filed under: uncultured bacterium
Lineage: Bacteria
Description: partial 16S ribosomal RNA
Rfam family: Bacterial small subunit ribosomal RNA
Source: RNAcentral
AACCCUGACCGAGCAACGCCGCGUGAGUGAAGAAGGUUUUCGGUAUCGUAAAGCUCUGUUGUAAGUCAAGAACGGGUGUGGGAGUGGAAAGUUCACACUGUGACGGUAGCUUACCAGAAAGGGACGGCUAACUACGUGCCAGCAGCCGCGGUAAUACGUAGGUCCCGAGCGUUGUCCGGAUUUAUUGGGCGUAAAGCGAGCGCAGGCGUUGCUCGGUCAGGGUU